Molecule: long non-coding RNA, 1355 nt
Filed under: Chinchilla lanigera (long-tailed chinchilla)
Lineage: Eukaryota; Metazoa; Chordata; Mammalia; Rodentia; Chinchillidae
Description: lncRNA (ENSCLAG00000025963.1)
Source: RNAcentral
AUGAGCUAUUCACAAGACGAGAAGGCCAAUAUGUUUCUUGAGGAAAAUAGGCCAAGAGAGCUUUUUCAGAGAGAAGCUUCCUUGACAAAACCAAAUCUUCAGCGAGCUAGCCUCACACCUUUACUCACACCUUUGCGACCAGUUGAGAACAUUUACCACAAAGAAGCAGAAAAUGUAAAUCUUACGGAACACUGUAACUCAUCUCAUCCUUCCUGCACCCUGAAAGUAGAGGGAGCCAAAUCAAGAGACACUGCAGCCCAGCCUCAGAGGAUAUCACUUAGACGCCCUGCUCAGAAGGAUCUGAAGAAGAAAGAAAAACACCAUGUUCCCAUGAAAGCAAAGAGAUGCGCCACUUCUGUAAUCAGUGACAUUCCGCCUUCCAAAAAAAUGAAAGUGUAAGGAGACCCAAUCUUUUUUUUUUUUUUUUUUUUGAGACAGGAUUUCACUGCGUAGCCCAGGCUGGCCUUGAGCUCAAGCCAGUCCUCUUGCCUUAGCCUCCCGAGUGCUGGGAUUACAGGUGUGCACCACCAUGCCCACCUCAUCUACAUACUUCUUAUUGCUAAAGGCAGAUAUACUGUGCUUUGUAUACCACCUGUAUGUUAAAUUUCUUGCCUGAAUUUAAACUUUGGAGUGAACUGAGUAGAAUUACAGCUGGGUACAUCUUCAGCCUGGUGCACCCAGGGCUUGGGAAGCUCCUUAAGCUGUGACCAUGACGAGUUGUUACCUGUGUCGUGGAGGGUGAUUCCCCUUAGUGGACCCAGGUUUUACCUGUUUAUUUCUGUGGCUAAGGACAAGACAAAUAUAUGGUAUCUUUUCCUGUUUUUAUCAGUUAGGAAUCUUGAGGCAAACAGUAUUCACCUAGAGUGUUUAAAUAGUAGUGACUUGUUUUGCUUCAUGAAAGUUCACAGAUAGUUUACGGCUUGCUUUGGUUGACUUGCUGAGUGAUGCCAAGCUAUCUUCUGUGAUACUGAGCUGUUUUUUUUUUUUUAAGUACUUGUUGUUUAAGAUGGCUGCUCCAUGGCUUUUCUUAGCUUUUUCCUUUGGCUUGUUUGUUUUGAGACAGGAUCUUGCUAUGUAGUCCAGGCUGGUCUUGAACUCAAUGGAACAUCGCUCCUCCUGUCUCAGCCUCCCAAAGUGGUGGGACUACAGGCAUGUGCCACCGUGCCAGGCUUCCUUUGACUUCUGAUUCACUGUCACAAGAUAACUGCUAUAUCUGUGGGCAUAACAUCCAUCUUCAAGACAAAAAUGAAUGUAUGAUAAAGUGAAAUCACACUUUCCCCUCAAGAAAGUGAAAUUGCAGGGCAUGGUAGUAUCCCUCUGUAAUCCCACUGCUCUUAGCUUUGAAUUAGUCUUUC